GUAGGGUGCGAGCGUUAUCCGGAAUCAUUGGGCGUAAAGAGCUCGUAGGCGGUUCAGCAAGUCGGCUGUGAAAGUCCGGGGCUCAACCCCGGAAUUGCAGUCGAUACUGCUGUGACUUGAGUCCGGUAGAGGAGAAUGGAAUUCCCGGUGUAGCGGUGGAAUGCGCAGAUAUCGGGAGGAACACCAGUAGCGAAGGCGGUUCUCUGGGCCGGCACUGACGCUGAGGAGCGAAAGCGUGGGGAGCAAACAGGAUUAGAUACCCUGGUAGUCCACGCCGUAAACGUUGGAUACUAGGUGUGGCGGUCUACCAACGACUGCCGUGCCGAAGCUAACGCAUUAAGUAUCCCGCCUGGGGAGUACGGCCGCAAGGCUA
This 373-nucleotide ribosomal RNA is filed under the name uncultured bacterium. RNAcentral describes it as "bacterial SSU rRNA". It matches the Rfam family "Bacterial small subunit ribosomal RNA", at positions 527 to 896 of the family's 1533-position model. The record is from RNAcentral.